RNAcentral lists this ribosomal RNA (253 nucleotides) under uncultured bacterium. Its description in RNAcentral is "partial 16S ribosomal RNA". It matches the Rfam family "Bacterial small subunit ribosomal RNA", at positions 524 to 776 of the family's 1533-position model. The record is from RNAcentral.
UACAGGGGGGUGCAAACGUUGCUCGGAAUUAUUGGGCGUAAAGCGCACGUAGGCGCCUGUUAUGUCGGAUGUGAAAGCCCUUGGCUUAACUGAGGAAGUGCAUCCGAAACUGGCAGGCUAGAGUACUAAAGAGGGUCGCGGAAUUCCCGGUGUAGAGGUGAAAUUCGUAGAUAUCGGGAGGAACACCGGUGGCGAAGGCGGCGACCUGGGUAGAUACUGACGCUGAGGUGCGAAAGCGUGGGGAGCAAACAGG